UACGAAGGGGGCUAGCGUUGCUCGGAAUCACUGGGCGUAAAGGGUGCGUAGGCGGGGCUUUAAGUCAGGGGUGAAAUCCUGGAGCUCAACUCCAGAACUGCCUUUGAUACUGAGGAUCUUGAGUUCGGGAGAGGUGAGUGGAACUGCGAGUGUAGAGGUGAAAUUCGUAGAUAUUCGCAAGAACACCAGUGGCGAAGGCGACUACCUGGCCUGUUCUUGACGCUGAGGCGCGAAAGCUAGGGGAGCAAACGGG
This 253-nucleotide ribosomal RNA is filed under the name uncultured bacterium. Its description in RNAcentral is "partial 16S ribosomal RNA". It matches the Rfam family "Bacterial small subunit ribosomal RNA", at positions 524 to 776 of the family's 1533-position model. The record is from RNAcentral.